AUCCAACAUCAAGAGUGACUCAGCAAUGAGUACAGCAACCGAGCCAGCCAGGCCGCGGUGCUUCCCGCCAGGGGAUGUGAUGCACGAAAGUGUAUAAAAACUUCUGGCCCUC
RNAcentral lists this non-coding RNA (112 nucleotides) under unclassified sequences. Its description in RNAcentral is "SAM-I-IV sequence". It matches the Rfam family "SAM-I/IV (S-adenosyl methionine) riboswitch aptamer". From Rfam's summary of the family: It is found upstream of a number of genes which code for proteins involved in methionine or cysteine biosynthesis. The record is from Rfam by way of RNAcentral.